This 26-nucleotide ribosomal RNA is filed under the name Yamadazyma buinensis. Its description in RNAcentral is "[Candida] buinensis partial 26S ribosomal RNA". The record is from RNAcentral. Lineage: Eukaryota; Fungi; Ascomycota; Pichiomycetes; Serinales; Debaryomycetaceae.
AAGUUGACCUCAAAUCAGUGAGAUGC